CGUUACCCUGGGAGACAGGAAGCCUUAGCCUUUGGCACCCACCAUGGGACCCAACGCUAGUGGGGCCCCACUUCACGGAGGUGAGCCGCCCAGAAGUGAGGGAAGCCCACUGCUUCCGAGAAAGAAACCUAGUUACCCUUGUGGAAGAAGGGUUCAGACCUCACCGCAUCAGGCUAUAUUGCACUGCAUAAGCAAGCUGGCAGUGGAGGGAUGGCUUGGAGUGGUCAUUUCUUCCCAGGGGAUGUACUCCAUCUACCUGUGUUCAUUCACACUCAGUCCCUCUCCUUCCAGUCUGUAGCUCCCAACUCCCACCCGGCGCCCAUAUUCAGCCUUUACUAGAGACUCAAAGGACACCUCUUCCAUGAAGGCAUCUCUGACCUCCCUGGCAGAGGUCCCAUCUAUUUGCCCUGGCAUCCCUGCCCUGGCCCAUUCUCCUGGCUGUCCCAGAGAACAAACCUCAGCAUCCUGAUGAACUCAUCCUUGGAAAUGAGGCCAUUCCCAUCAAAGUCGUACAUGCGGAACAUAAGGCGAGACUUUUCCUCAGGAGAGCCUGGGAGAGGGAGGACUCCAUAAGGAGAGCCCCCGCCUGCCUGCCUGAACCCCCAGGCUGGCCAAAAGGGGCCUCACACCAGUGUGAUGACCCACUUCUGGACACAGCAAGGGUCGCUCUGCUUCCUGACCUCGGCCUGGGCACUUCUGGGCAUCUGCCAUGGCUGGAGACCUGGUCCCAGGGCUUCCCCAUCUCCAACAGAUCAGCCCCUGUCCAGCCUCUCCUAUCAUUCCCUCCUCCCUCACCUUUCAUGAAGACCACCAGGAUGUCCAGGAACUCUCGGAAGGACAGGUAGCCAUUGCCAUCCUUGUCAGCCAGAGAGAACAUGGACUCCACAAACAUGUCCUGGGGCUUGAGGCCCAGGGACUCGGCAAACUCGGCCCUGCUCAGCUCACAGGUCAGGGCCUCCCGCACCUUCUGGGAGGAGUCCAGGGGCAGGGUCCCUGCGUCGGCCUGGUUGAUGUCCAGCACCUGCACUUGGGCAGAAGCAGAGGGAGGGAGAGGAGACAAGGCUUCCUUGACUUGAAGUUCAGCUGAGCCCUGUAGGAGCCACCUUUUGAGGUGUCUGCCCAGGACCCCCUCUGCUAGGAGGCCUUAUGGUGGUGCCUGAGGCCAUGUUUGUUCUACAGAACCCUGACCCUCUGCCUUAGCUGACUGGACAGGGAACUCACUUGGAAUUAAGAAGUGUGAGGUCUGUCUUGACUUGAGCACAAGAAAGCUCAGAAAGUGUGGACCACUCUCUUCCUCCAAGUGCUCAGCCACUUAGAGAUCAAGUAAGGCAAAGGCAGCCUAGGGGAGGAGUGGCCUCAUUGGCUGACAGCUUUCCUUUUCUAGGUCCUUUCAGGCCAGGUUGAUGUCCUCCCUUUGGAAUUCCUGAGACAUCUCUGUAUUCUCAGAGUCAAGUGACCCUUUGUCAAUGCUAGCUUAUUGGGGUUUCUCUUAUUUAUGUGUAAAAAAAGUUUUAACUAAGACAAGGCUUCAGCUGGAUUGAGGAAAAGCUGGGCUUGAGAAAGGGGAAUUCUCAUUGUGGCCAUCCCCAGCCCACCCAGAGGCUUCCCCAGUAUGAGAGAACAGACAGUGAGGAAGCAGGCAGGCCACAGGCCACAGUACCUGUCUUUCCUGCCUGUCAAGUGAGGUGCCUACUCCAAGUCUGGUGAUGGUUUCAUGGGGUAAACCUUACAGCUUCAAACAAGGUGCUGUAGUGGGAAGAGCCUAGGGCUGGAGGCAAGAGACCUGGGUUCAUGUCCCAACUCUGUCACCUGCUUGCUGAAUGACCUCAUGCAAGUCUCUUCGGUUGCCUGGAAUUCAUUUCCUCAUCUGCCCUACUUAUCUCACAGGUUUAUUGCGAGAUCAACAAAAGUGGUUGUGUUGAAAAUGUUCUGAAAGCUGAAAUCAUAUGAGACACUGACAGCCACCCCCAGGAUAUAUCAGCACCCUUCGUGUCUCAGCACAGGGAGUUCCCAUAGCCCCGAAGGAUCCUGAAUGAGUGGAGAUGCCCAGUCCUGCCUGGGCUCUGGGAAGGAGUCACCCAGCUGAGGGUCCCUCUGUUCUUGUACAUAUUCAAGUUCAACUUGUUUGUCCUCAAAUGACUUUAAAUCAUGUUCCUGGCACAGAGUAAAUGUCUGUUCAAUGGA
Homo sapiens (human) is the source of this 2184-nucleotide long non-coding RNA. RefSeq lists it as uncharacterized. The transcript is spliced from 2 exons. The record is from RefSeq and is a predicted model, not a curated record. NCBI's taxonomy places the organism in Eukaryota, Metazoa, Chordata, Mammalia, Primates, Hominidae.